RNAcentral lists this long non-coding RNA (357 nucleotides) under Homo sapiens (human). RNAcentral describes it as "HSALNT0128254". Lineage: Eukaryota; Metazoa; Chordata; Mammalia; Primates; Hominidae. The record is from RNAcentral.
UGUUGCUUACGGUGGUGGUAGUGUGGGAUCAGAGAGUUGGUUAGGGGAAGACACCAACAUCAAUCCUAAAAGUGACUGUCCAGCAAUUCCUCCCUUCCUCCACCCCCAAUUGCCUAGAAUGGAGUGAUGGGCGUGGGCAUAGUAUAGGGCUAUGGCAUCACAGCCAAGUAAGAACCUUUUUAUUUAUUUUUUCUCUAUUCUCUUUUAUUAAGGCUUUGGAAAAUAAGUGGUGGAUUUCAAGUUAAUCCAAGGAACCAAGAACCCUGCUGAAGGCUUGAAAAAAUGAUGUUGUGGUUUCCUAAAAGAAAAAGAGAAGUCUUAUUCUCUGUGCAUGAAUCUUUCUCAACCACCCCUGGC